GCCCAGGUACGCCAAUCGGCAGAGCGGCGCGGCUUAAACCCGCGCGGCUGUGGGUUCGAGUCCCACCCUGGGUA
RNAcentral lists this transfer RNA (74 nucleotides) under Planctomycetaceae bacterium SCGC AG-212-F19. It matches the Rfam family "tRNA". Rfam says of the family: Transfer RNA (tRNA) molecules are approximately 80 nucleotides in length. Their secondary structure includes four short double-helical elements and three loops (D, anti-codon, and T loops). Further hydrogen bonds mediate the characteristic L-shaped molecular structure. tRNAs have two regions of fundamental functional importance: the anti-codon, which is responsible for specific mRNA codon recognition, and the 3' end, to which the tRNAs corresponding amino acid is attached (by aminoacyl-tRNA synthetases). tRNAs cope with the degeneracy of the genetic code in two manners: having more than one tRNA (with a specific anti-codon) for a particular amino acid; and 'wobble' base-pairing, i.e. permitting non-standard base-pairing at the 3rd anti-codon position. The record is from Rfam by way of RNAcentral. Lineage: Bacteria; Pseudomonadati; Planctomycetota; Planctomycetia; Planctomycetales; Planctomycetaceae.